RNAcentral lists this ribosomal RNA (277 nucleotides) under uncultured eukaryote. RNAcentral describes it as "partial 18S ribosomal RNA". It matches the Rfam family "Eukaryotic small subunit ribosomal RNA", at positions 21 to 292 of the family's 1831-position model. The record is from RNAcentral.
UAGUCAUAUGCUUGUCUCAAAGAUUAAGCCAUGCAUGUCUAAGUAUAAACAUCUUUAUACAGUGAAACUGCGUACAGCUCAUUAUAUCAGUAAUUAUUUAUUUGAUGGUACCUUACUACAUGGAUACCCGUAGUAAUUCUAGAGCUAAUACAUGCGUAAAGUCCCAACUCUUGCGGGGAGGGAUGUAUUUAUUAGAUAAAAAAUCAAUGCAGGUUUUACCUGGUUAUUUGGUGAUUCAUAGUAACUGUUCGAAUCGCAUGGCUUUAUGCUGGCGAUA